This 1441-nucleotide ribosomal RNA is filed under the name uncultured organism. RNAcentral describes it as "SSU rRNA". It matches the Rfam family "Bacterial small subunit ribosomal RNA". The record is from RNAcentral.
GCUAUCGACAGGCUUAACACAUGCAAGUCGAGGGGCAGCACAGGUAGCAAUACCGGGUGGCGACCGGCGCACGGGUGAGUAACGCGUAUGCAACUUACCUAUCAGAGGGGGAUAACCCGGCGAAAGUCGGACUAAUACCGCAUGAAGCAGGGGCCCCGCAUGGGGAUAUUUGCUAAAGAUUCAUCGCUGAUAGAUAGGCAUGCGUUCCAUUAGGCAGUUGGCGGGGUAACGGCCCACCAAACCGACGAUGGAUAGGGGUUCUGAGAGGAAGGUCCCCCACAUUGGUACUGAGACACGGACCAAACUCCUACGGGAGGCAGCAGUGAGGAAUAUUGGUCAAUGGCCGAGAGGCUGAACCAGCCAAGUCGCGUGAGGGAUGAAGGUUCUAUGGAUCGUAAACCUCUUUUAUAAGGGAAUAAAGUGCGGGACGUGUCCCGUUUUGUAUGUACCUUAUGAAUAAGGAUCGGCUAACUCCGUGCCAGCAGCCGCGGUAAUACGGAGGAUCCGAGCGUUAUCCGGAUUUAUUGGGUUUAAAGGGUGCGUAGGCGGCCUUUUAAGUCAGCGGUGAAAGUCUGUGGCUCAACCAUAGAAUUGCCGUUGAAACUGGGGGGCUUGAGUAUGUUUGAGGCAGGCGGAAUGCGUGGUGUAGCGGUGAAAUGCAUAGAUAUCACGCAGAACCCCGAUUGCGAAGGCAGCCUGCCAAGCCAUGACUGACGCUGAUGCACGAAAGCGUGGGGAUCAAACAGGAUUAGAUACCCUGGUAGUCCACGCAGUAAACGAUGAUCACUAGCUGUUUGCGAUACACUGUAAGCGGCACAGCGAAAGCGUUAAGUGAUCCACCUGGGGAGUACGCCGGCAACGGUGAAACUCAAAGGAAUUGACGGGGGCCCGCACAAGCGGAGGAACAUGUGGUUUAAUUCGAUGAUACGCGAGGAACCUUACCCGGGUUUGAACGCAUUCGGACCGAGGUGGAAACACCUUUUCUAGCAAUAGCCGUUUGCGAGGUGCUGCGUGGUUGUCGUCAGCUCGUGCCGUGAGGUGUCGGCUUAAGUGCCAUAACGAGCGCAACCCUUGCCACUAGUUACUAACAGGUGAUGCUGAGGACUCUGGUGGGACUGCCAGCGUAAGCUGCGAGGAAGGCGGGGAUGACGUCAAAUCAGCACGGCCCUUACAUCCGGGGCGACACACGUGUUACAAUGGCGUGGACAAAGGGAGGCCACCUGGCGACAGGGAGCGAAUCCCCAAACCACGUCUCAGUUCGGAUCGGAGUCUGCAACCCGACUCCGUGAAGCUGGAUUCGCUAGUAAUCGCGCAUCAGCCAUGGCGCGGUGAAUACGUUCCCGGGCCUUGUACACACCGCCCGUCAAGCCAUGGGAGCCGGGGGUACCUGAAGUCCGUAACCGCGAGGAUCGGCCUAGGGUAAAACUGGUGACUGGGGCUA